CGGGGGCUCCAGCUGUGGCACAGCUGCCUCGGCGGGCGGACGGGGGUGGGGGGAGGAAGGGGGCAAGUUAUUAUCUGCAACAAUACCUCGGGGGAGGAGGCAGCGGAGGCGAGCGCGGCGGCGGCGGCGGGAGGAGGCGGCGAGGGGCGGGCCGGAGGCGGCACCGGGACCGCCCCGCACCGCCCGCCCCCGGCCCCGCCGCCGGCCCCUUCCUUCCGCCCGGCGGCCCCUUCCGCGCCCCUGCCCCGCGGCGUGCCCCGGGCCGCCCCUCCCGCGCUCCCGGCUCGGUAUCCCCGCGCCGCUCCCGCCGCGUCUCCCGGGCAGCCCCUCCCGCGCUCCGCCCCGCACAUCCCUCCUUCCUUCCCUCGCUGCCUGCCUGCCUCCGGUCCGUCAGCCUCCUCGCAUCCCCCCGGCCGCGCCGCUGCCGCCUCCCGCAUCCCUCCGGCCGCGCCCCCCCCGGCCCUUACCUCCCUUGGGGCGCAGGGAGGGGCGGCCGGCGGCCCCCAGCUCGGCGGGACGGCCCCGAAACAAAAAGCGAAAGCGGCGGCCGCUGCCUCCCGCUCUGCCGGGCUGCCGCGCUCUGCCCGCGGCUGACGUCAAGGGCCCAAAUUCCUGCCUUUCCCUGCAGGCAGAUUUGUCCAUUAGCUGUUCGGUAUCUACAUCUGCCCUGUAAAGAACGGGAAGACAGAAGGGUUACAUUGUAUUCAGGCUGUGGAGGGGAGCCUUGCCAAACCUUACUGAUUUGGAAAGAGAUUUCUGGAGGGAUCAUCUUGCAACUUCACCUGUGGAAACACAGCAGCUCAACUCUUUGAAUGUCCAUAACUCCAUCUGGGCUCUUUCCUGCUCUGCUUUUGUCCUAAGCAGAAUGGAUCCAAUGCCUUUCAGUUAAGAUCUUCCACUCAUUCUUUACAUUCGGGUAGGAACAACAAUCAACUCAGCCUUGCUUUAGCCACCUUGGUGUUGCCCACAGAUUCCUAGAUGACAUGGCCAUGCUGCCCAAAUGGUAGGAAGGCCCUGAUGGAGAAGCUGUAUAUCACAAGGCAACAUUUGAGAGCACCCAGACUCUGUCCCCAGCACCCAGAGCAUUGCAUUGGUUAAUACUGUUGGUGUUGAGCACCACCUGCAUGCUCUGCACAGGGAUCUGGGACUGGUACACACCCUGCAUCAAGCCUCACCCCACAAUGAGACAGGCAGGCAAAUGAGAAAAUUGGGCCCUGGCCCUUUCCUGUGAUUAGGUCAUUAUAAUGGGUAAAUAUUUUCCUAGAUAGACAGCUGAGAUAAAGAACUCCUGAUGUCUGAAAGGGAGUUUGAACAAAACUUGGAAGGACUAUCUCUACGUUAUAAUUCUUUAUAAUGUGCUUUUACCAAAUAAAUGCCUUUUGCCCCUAAAGUACCCAGGGAAAUGUUUCACUGAAUAGCAAGAACAGCAUCUAGUCUACAGCCAAACUGUUCACCAGCAAAUAUAUAGAAUGGAUUUAGUGACAGGUACCAAAGAUUAUUCCCAGAGGACGUUACAGCUCUACACCAUUCAGUCUAAAUAUUUACUGAGGAGUACAGAAAAGUGAAUGGUAGAGGCAGAGUCCCAGAGAUUGGCUUAGAGGAAUCUGUUUAAUAAAAGCUUGUUUCUGCAGAGAAAAAUGAUUGUGAUUGUUUGUUAAUGAAAAUCAGUGUUCUCGUGCUAUAGCAAAUAGUGAUUAUUCAAUCUCUCUCCCUCUACUCUGCAUUAUUCAUGAUUUUGUGGCCUCUGCUCUAUCCUCUCCGUUGGUAUUCCAAUCUCACCCUCAGUUUUCUCUGGGUUUGGGAGCUUUUGUAUCAGAUAAACUGGUUCAUAAGGUAGUCUUUGAGGAACAAGUCUCGCUUAAAUCUCUCAUAAUAUCCAAGAAUGUUCUCCGGUAUUUGACCUCUUUGUGGAUGAAACAAUACUCUUCAGACACAAUAACCUUGGUGUUUCAAAGCUGUAACCAGCACCUGUGGAGUUUUCAAACAAAUAGGCUCAGUGUUCCUCGGUACAGUCUUCCUCACUGCUCCCACAUUUAAUUGCUUUGUAAUUAUACUUGUAAAACCUGCAAUGGGAUUACACAUGGGGAAAGAAAAAUAAUUUUAAAAAUCACACUUCAGAAUAGGAGGGGAUUUAUGGGAGCUGCAAGACAAAGAAAAACCCACCUUUAUUUCUUUCUUCGCUGUUGUCUUUGGAAGGCAGCCAUCAAAGUUUCCUUGUCAGUAAUACAGGGAUUUGUAAAUAGAACAAAGAGCUUCCUCACACCAAGGCACAUUAUAUAACCCAGCGCCGUCACCGUGUGUCUUCGCAGGCAGUUCCCUUGAACUUUGCAUCUCGCUCCUCCUGAGAACAGUCUUCCAUGCCAGCUUCAACAGAUGUGGCUUCCUUUAGGAAAGGUUUUCUGUUAGGGUCAUUCUGACUUCCCUUUCAGAGUUUUCCAGCCUCAUGCUCUUUGCUCAAGGGAUUACUGUGGUGGACACUAACUCCAUGUGCUACUGUUAAGCUUCUCCUCACCUGCUGGCUGAGCUGAAUGAGUGCUGAAACCUCUGUUCCACAGAAAAAUCUGACAUCUCAUGUUUUCCUGAAUCAGACCGGAAAGUUGCAAUUUCCUGUGAACCCAAAUUCUGAGAAACAUUUCAGAAAGUGCAAAAUGGCCCCAGCACAGCCUUUUGUUUGGGUAUUAUCUACAGGUUUUUAUGAGACUUAAGCUGGCUUUAAGCCCAUCAUGUUCCAAGUGAUUCCAAAUACAACCAGGCAGCACCCACUGCUCCCAAAGACACUCCAGCAGCUGUGGUGUCUGUCGAGGGUGCUUUGCAAGAGAGAGGUGACACAGAGCCAGUUGUGGUUUUCUCUUACCCCGUGCAUUAUUCUAGUAUUGCCACUCUUCAAUUCCACAAGUGCACUUACAGACUUCAGUCUUACAAGCAUUUUAAUUCUUAUUUUCCAGGCUCCUUAAAAACAAAGGCUUUUAUAGUAUACCUCUGAGGGUACAACUCAAUAGCUUGUACAGCCCUGGCAUGAUUAUUUCUGACACAUCGAGUGCAUAUUCCAUGGCACUAUUUUAAAAGUGGGCAGCUUUAAGACAUUUUAACUAAAUCAGGGCACAAGGCCAUGCAGACCCUCUUGUUAUCAAUAAAGCUGGUUUUUAAUCUCUGGUUGGUUAAAAGAGUUUUGUAAAUGAAUAAGGAUAAGACAUCCUACACCUGAUGUAGAUCACCAAAUGCAAAAUUUCACACUGGUUAAACCAGGGUAGUAUCAGCUUGUGUGAAGACAGCUUUGAAGCUGCAAAAGCAUAGUGGGAAAAGCAGCCCUGCCCUAUGAACAAGUGAGAAAAAACAAACAAAAGUAAACAGUGGAGCAAAAGCAGCUGCUAGCUGGUCUUCAUGGAAAAUGAAGAUUAAAAAAAAAAAAAAAAAAGAAAGAAAGAAAAAAGGAAGAAAAAAAGAGGUGGAGGAAGGAACAGAAGCAUACUUCAAGACCAAAUUCUCAUCAGACUAAAAAUCAGUGUUAACUCCCACAUUGCAACACUUUGCAGGUCUAAUAGACACAAAGCUGUUCCUUCACCCGAAAGCCAAACAUAAAAGUCACGGAAACCCAUCAUGCCAAUUCUGUGGCUGAUUUCCGGAGCAGAAUCUCUUUAAAUAUCAGUGUUCCCUUUGUUCUGUGCACCCUUUAUAAUGAGUCUAUCAUCUGUUUGGUAAAAGAUCCAGUGAAAUAUGUAAUAAGGUUAUCUCACCAUCUCUUUCCAUUGUAAAGUCAUAUCUCCUCUUCCACUCAUUAAUUAUUGUCUUCCAUUUCCUGUGUCAGAUGUGAAUCAGAAAAUAGGGACUCAAGGCUUGCAAGCUUAGCAAUUUACCAUAUAUUAGCUGAGCUGUGGUAACUCUCCAUGUGCUCCCUCUUAGCCCAUAAUAAACAAAGCCAGUGUGACUUUGCUGUACACAGGCCUGCAGUCGAUGCUGUUUGGAUUAACUUCCUUUUAUUGUCAGCAAAGUGGUCAUGACAGCGAUAGUGGCCAUGGCUCAGCUCAUGUUCAGUCCUCAUAUUGCAAGACUUUGUCUUUAAAUCCUGGGAGCAGAGCUCUACCAAUAUAACUAUCUGGAAAGCUACAAUGAUUUAUGUGCUGUCAACAUACACUAAAAAAAAAAAGGACAGAAAAGCAGCACAAUUACAUGAUUAUCAGCCAAUGCCCCUCGGUUUGCAGUUUUUCAAGCAUGAACUGCUCAAACUUUGGAUCAAGAAGUGAAGCAAUCUGUUUCUCAAGUGCAAACAGGGAAAAGUUAUAUGAGUCUUCUAGCAAUUUCAGGCAAAUAUAUCACAGAAGCAGCAUGCUUAGCCUUUUUACUGUGCAUCUGUCUGAGGUUUCCAGUAAGAUUUCCCUGAUAUAUAGUAAGAGUCAAAACUCUAAUCUCUUUUAGCUCUUUUUUAUUGUCUCUGCAGCACUAACUUUGAAAAAUGGCCUUGUCCCCAAAGAACUGCACACAGUCCGUGUAGGGAAGCUGUUAAAAUAAAUGCUUUACGUAAAAAAUAUUGCAGACGAACUUGGCUCUGAGGGUUUUAGAGCUACAACAUAUAGAUAUAAACCAGAGCAGCUAAGUAUGAAUGGAGGUCAUACUCCAGUAGAGAAGAAGGGAAGUCCCCUGUCAGUUGUUACACACAAUCUCUGAAAGCAACAAUUCCUUCUCUCCUUACUCAGGGCUGCAGAGUUUUAAUAAAUGACUAUUCUCAUGUUAAUGUCCUUCUGCCUUUCCCCCCCCCCCCCCCCCCCCAACCUCAAAACACACCAUGCUGUGAAAAAUGCAUAUUAUAUGAUUGGUUCUUUGCAAAUAUUAAAAUGAAUACUAUAUGUGUUAUGUUGGAAAGUUAUGUUGCAUUAAUCUCUUUUAAGUAGUGUAGUAACUAUGGUUUUUAGGCUAUAGCUUUAACUUUUGUUAAAAAUUUUAGAAGUUUACUAGUAAUGGUCUUCUUAUGAGCACCUCUCCCAGGAAAUAACAUGGGCUCAGAAAAAUUUACUGUACAGUAACACAGCAGUAUUCUAUGGGAG
Molecule: long non-coding RNA, 5039 nt
Filed under: Taeniopygia guttata (zebra finch)
Lineage: Eukaryota; Metazoa; Chordata; Aves; Passeriformes; Estrildidae
Description: lncRNA (ENSTGUG00000022456.1)
Source: RNAcentral